This 468-nucleotide ribosomal RNA is filed under the name uncultured bacterium. RNAcentral describes it as "partial 16S ribosomal RNA". It matches the Rfam family "Bacterial small subunit ribosomal RNA", at positions 28 to 507 of the family's 1533-position model. The record is from RNAcentral.
GACGAACGCUGGCGGCGUGCCUAACACAUGCAAGUCGAACGGAAAGGCCCUGCUUUUGUGCGGUGCUCGAGUGGCGACCGGGUGAGUAACACGUGAGUAACCUGCCCCUGCCUGUGGGAUAACUUAAGGCAGCUUGAGCUAAUACCGGAUAGGAGCUCCUGCUGCAUGGUGGGGGUUGGAAAGUUUCGGCGGUUGGGGAUGGAAUCGCGGCGUAUCAGCUUGUUGGUGGGGUAGUGGCUUACCAAGGCUUGGAGAGGUAGCCGGGCUGGGAGGGUGACCGGCCACGUUGGGACGGAGAUGCGACCCAGACUCGAACGGUAGGCAGCGGUGGAGAAGAGUGCACAAGAGGAGGAGGGCAGACGUGGCAACGCCGCGUGGGGGAAGAGGUGAUUGGGGUUGGGAAGCGAUGUCGCUUUUGACGAAGCGAGAGUGACGGUAACGGGUAAAGAAGCACCGGCUAACUACGUG